CAUCAGGAAGAAAGCUUGCUUUCUUUGCUGGCGACCGGCGCACGGGUGAGUAACACGUAUCCAACCUGCCCUUUACUCGGGGAUAGCCUUUCGAAAGAAAGAUUAAUACCCGAUAGCAUAAUGAUUCCGCAUGGUUUCAUUAUUAAAGGAUUCCGGUAAAGGAUGGGGAUGCGUUCCAUUAGGUUGUUGGUGAGGUAACGGCCCACCAAGCCUUCGAUGGAUAGGGGUUCUGAGAGGAAGGUCCCCCACAUUGGAACUGAGACACGGUCCAAACUCCUACGGGAGGCAGCAGUGAGGAAUAUUGGUCAAUGGGCGUUAGCCUGAACCAGCCAAGUAGCGUGAAGGAUGAAGGCUCUAUGGGUCGUAAACUUCUUUUAUAUAAGAAUAAAGUGCAGUAUGUAUACUGUUUUGUAUGUAUUAUAUGAAUAAGGAUCGGCUAACUCCGUGCCAGCAGCCGCGGUAAUACGGAGGAUCCGAGCGUUAUCCGGAUUUAUUGGGUUUAAAGGGAGCGUAGGUGGACUGGUAAGUCAGUUGUGAAAGUUUGCGGCUCAACCGUAAAAUUGCAGUUGAUACUGUCAGUCUUGAGUACAGUAGAGGUGGGCGGAAUUCGUGGUGUAGCGGUGAAAUGCUUAGAUAUCACGAAGAACUCCGAUUGCGAAGGCAGCUCACUGGACUGAACUGACACUGA
This 688-nucleotide ribosomal RNA is filed under the name uncultured Bacteroidales bacterium. RNAcentral describes it as "bacterial SSU rRNA". It matches the Rfam family "Bacterial small subunit ribosomal RNA", at positions 70 to 749 of the family's 1533-position model. Lineage: Bacteria; Pseudomonadati; Bacteroidota; Bacteroidia; Bacteroidales. The record is from RNAcentral.